GGCCUCCCUCUGCGGGGCGAUCGAUCAUGGAGCACCCCUCCUCCCCGGCCCCCAUCAAUUGCCCUGCAGAGGGUGGCC
This 78-nucleotide microRNA precursor is filed under the name Myotis lucifugus (little brown bat). Its description in RNAcentral is "mir-9242 microRNA precursor family". It matches the Rfam family "mir-9242 microRNA precursor family". The record is from Rfam by way of RNAcentral. Lineage: Eukaryota; Metazoa; Chordata; Mammalia; Chiroptera; Vespertilionidae.